RNAcentral lists this transfer RNA (75 nucleotides) under Nitrososphaerales archaeon. RNAcentral's name for it is "tRNA-Glu". It matches the Rfam family "tRNA". Rfam says of the family: Transfer RNA (tRNA) molecules are approximately 80 nucleotides in length. Their secondary structure includes four short double-helical elements and three loops (D, anti-codon, and T loops). Lineage: Archaea; Thermoproteati; Nitrososphaerota; Nitrososphaeria; Nitrososphaerales. The record is from RNAcentral.
GCUCCGGUAGUGUAGUCCGGUCAAGCAUGUCGGCCUCUCACGUCGACGACGUGGGUUCGAAUCCCGCCCGGAGCA